ACCACUUCUUCUUCAUUUCUUCUUUUCCUUCUAUUCUUCCUUCUUUUCUGUUCUACCCGAACACACACAGAGAGAGUCGGAGAGAUUGAGGGAGGAGAGAAAUAGAGAGAUGAGACCGAGAGAGAGCCGAGAGAUGUGAGAGCCGAGAGAUGCUGAGAGAGAGAUGAGAUCGGGAGAGUUGAGGAGUGAUCGGAGCCCGAUCCUCCGGUGGGUGGCGCCGUCGAGACCAGAGGACGCCGGCGACGCGAUCUCCGGUGAGCCCGUGAACCAGAGAUGACCCGGGAGAGAGAGAACCCGAAACCCACGAGCCCAGAAAACCCGUGAAACCCGUGACCCGUGUGCAACCCGAGAGGAAAUCCGGUUCCCCAAGUGCGUUUUCCGGCGGAUGGAGGCUGUUCUCCGGUGGUUUCCGUCGGUAGUGGACUGCCCAGAACCCCACGAACCCGAGACCUGCGACCCAUGACCCGCUGAACCAUGUGGAAGACCCGGUCCUCUAGGAGCGAUUUUCCGGCGAGUUUUCCGGCGGUCCAGUAGCGAUUUCCGGUGGAUUUUCUAGGAAAAUCCUCUAGGCUUGUGUCGUGAUUGGAGACAUAGACUUGUUCUCCAAUGUAGAGUUCGAGUAAUUGGAAUCCAGUGGAAGUUCGAGUCAGGAGUCUAAUGCAGCCAAGAUGGUGUUUCUUUGGCUGCAGGUACUACGGUAUAGUCGAUGGGUCGGUAGCAGGGUGCUUGGGAUAUUAUGACUGAAGCUCACCGCGACGGUUGUAAUUGUCGGACCACGGGCUGUCCACUGUUUUAUAGGUUUGGUAUAGCUUGUGACGUUUGUGUCACAUAUUCUUUGUAAAGCUAUAGUAGUUUUGUAAAUAAUGUGUUAAUAAGACUCAUACAGAUAGAUGUUAAAUGGCUCUUUGUUGUAAUUAAUUUGUGAUAGAUGUAUAAGUUGUAAUUUCCGCUAUUCAGAUU
Long non-coding RNA from Alnus glutinosa, 960 nucleotides. RefSeq lists it as uncharacterized. Lineage: Eukaryota; Viridiplantae; Streptophyta; Magnoliopsida; Fagales; Betulaceae. The transcript has 3 exons. The record is from RefSeq and is a predicted model, not a curated record.